RNAcentral lists this ribosomal RNA (322 nucleotides) under uncultured eukaryote. Its description in RNAcentral is "partial 18S ribosomal RNA". It matches the Rfam family "Eukaryotic small subunit ribosomal RNA", at positions 1470 to 1796 of the family's 1831-position model. The record is from RNAcentral.
CCCUUAGAUGUUCUGGGCCGCACGCGUGCUACACUGAGUGGAUCAGCGGGUCAGGUUGCGCGAAAGCGUUUCCUAAUCUUUAAAUCCGCUCGUGAUGGGGAUUGACGGUUGCAAUUUUCUGUCAUGAACGAGGAAUACCUUGUAAGCGCGGGUCAUCAUCCCGCGCUGAUUACGUCCCUGCCCUUUGUACACACCGCCCGUCGCUCCUACCGAUUGAGUGGUCCGGUGAGGCUUUGGGAUCUGAGCGGAAAGAGCGUUUCGCUGUUUCUGCUCGGAAAACUCAGUCGAACCUUAUCAUUUAGAGGAAGGAGAAGUCGUAACA